Molecule: small RNA, 861 nt
Filed under: uncultured Acidimicrobiales bacterium
Lineage: Bacteria; Bacillati; Actinomycetota; Acidimicrobiia; Acidimicrobiales
Description: bacterial SSU rRNA
Rfam family: Bacterial small subunit ribosomal RNA (bases 1-490)
Source: RNAcentral
AUGGCUGUCGUCAGCUCGUGUCGUGAGAUGUUGGGUUAAGUCCCGCAACGAGCGCAACCCUUAUCCUAUGUUGCCAGCGCGUAAUGGCGGGGACUCGUGGGAGACUGCCGGGGUCAACUCGGAGGAAGGUGGGGACGACGUCAAGUCAUCAUGCCCCUUACGUCCAGGGCUGCAAACAUGCUACAAUGGCCGGUACAAAGGGCUGCUAUCCCGCGAGGGUGAGCGAAUCCCAGAAAGCCGGUCUCAGUUCGGAUUGGAGUCUGCAACUCGACUCCAUGAAGUCGGAGUCGCUAGUAAUCCCGGAUCAGCUACGCCGGGGUGAAUACGUUCCCGGGCCUUGUACACACCGCCCGUCACACCACGAAAGUUGGUAACACCCGAAGCCAGUGGCCCAACCGCAAGGAGGGAGCUGUCGAAGGUGGGACCAGCGAUUGGGGUGAAGUCGUAACAAGGUAGCCGUACCGGAAGGUGCGGCUGGAUCACCUCCUUUCUAAGGAGCACACCAUUGCCGUAUGCCAACAUCUUGUUGGUCACGGUGGUGCACUCCCGAGUCGAUCACUCGUUACUCGAGCCUUUCGAGCACCAACGGUUUGUAGGUUUCGACCUCGCCGUCAGCCAGCUCGUUUGGUCCGGUCCUCCCUCUGUUCCGUUUUUUAGGGGCGCUGCUUUGUCGCGUCUCGUUCCUUGAGAGUUGGAUAGCAAGCACGAGCAUCUUUUUUUCGAGCUGAAUUCCAAGCUACAAAGAGCCAACGGUGGAUGCCUUGGCGCCUGAUGCCGAUGAAGGACGUGGGUGACUGCGAAAAGCCACGGGGAGGUGUCGACCGACCGUCGAUCCGUGGAUGUCCGAAUGGGGAAACCCGG